GAGAGCCCGUUUAUCCCACACACCAUUUGAUUAUCCUAUUCGACCCUAUAGGAUGAGUUUGGCUGACUACUUUGUCAGAAGAUCAGAGACUCGACCUCGUCUAGAGGAGAUUGAUAGUGUGGUUCAUAUAGAUAGGGAGACCGAUCUUCAGCAUCUAUUUCACCAGCUACAGUUGAGUGAUGGGGCUCCCGACACUUCUUUCCCUAUGGCGAUUACUCCCACGUCUCCAGAUUGAACUAGCAUGUUGUCUCUAUGCUUUCUAGAGGAGAUCACGAGUGAUGGGGUGAAUGUUGAUCCUACUGAGGUGAUUGAUGGAGUUGUUCCCCAUGAUGAGUACCAUGAUGAGAUGGACAUGAUGACCGUGAGCCAGAUUAUAGGCAUUGUUCAGCUUCAGCCUGUUUCAGCAUUUGAUAUGUUUGGGGUGUCUACCAUUGAGGUUUUUGAGGGGACUCAGAAUCUUCCUGUUCCAGAGCUUCCAGAGGAUGAUAGUAGUUUGUUUGAGGGCAUCAUUAGCCUAGUUGAGGGAGCGUCCGACCUUGUGGACCCACCUCUUUCUUUUGAUGUUUUAUCGGGAUUUGUCUCCCGCUCUAACUAUGUUUCUGUUGCUUCAUUUAUGGAUUUGAGCAUUUUUUAGUAUUCGCCUGUCUCUUGUGAUAGUAUCUCUAUAUCUGCACCCCACCCACCCACUUCACAGAUAUUUGAUAUAGAUGAUGAGAUUACACAGCCCGGUUCGGAUAGGGACUCUUUGGAUCAUGACUCUGGUCCCAUAGAUGAGAGAGUUUCACCUGCUGCAGGGGAUAUUGAGAUUGUUGAUUUUGGCACAAAGGAUCAGCCUAGAGAGCUGAAGAUUGGUUCAUCUCUAUCUACAGAUGAGAGAGAUAGACUCAUCCAUUUACUCAGGUCAUAUUUGGAUGUCUUUGCAUGGUCUUAUGAGGACAUGACAAGUCUUGAUCCCUCUAUAGUCCAGCACCAUUUACCUACCCUACCACAUGCUAGACCAGUUAAGUAGAAAUUGAGACGGUUGCAUCCACGUUGGAGUCUACAAGUAAAAGAGGAGAUUCAGAAACAACUCAGUGUUGGGUUCAUAUCAGUAGUUGAGUAUCCAGAGUGGUUGGCUAAUGUCGUCCCUGUUCCUAAAAAGGAUGGCAAAGUUAGGGUUUGUGUUGACUUCAGAGAUCUCAAUAAAGCCAGCCCUAAAGAUGACUUUCCCCUUCCACACAUUGAUUUGUUGGUUGAUGGCACCGCUGGCCAUUCGAUGUUGUCUUUCAUGGAUGGGUUUUCAGGGUAUAAUCAGAUUUUGAUGGCUCCAGAGGAUAUGGAGAAGACAGCCUUUAUUACUGAGUGGGGUACCUACUGUUACAGAGUUAUGCCAUUUGGGUUGAAGAACGCAGGAGCCACUUAUCAGAGAGCCGCUACCACUUUGUUUCACGACAUGAUGCAUAGGGAUGUCGAGGUUUACGUAGAUGAUAUGAUUGUGAAAUCCCAAGGUAGAGCAGAUCACCUAGAUGCUUUAGAGAGAUUCUUUGAGAGGAUCCGCAAGUUUAGAUUGAGGUUGAAUCCCAAGAAGUGUACCUUUGGAGUGACUUCUGGGAAGUUAUUGGGACAUAUAGUCAGUGAGCGGGGCAUAGAGGUCGACCCAGAUAAAAUCAAAGCCAUACUUGACAUGCCUGCACCAAAGACUGAGAAAGAGAUUAGAGGUUUUCUGGGCAGAUUACAGUACAUUAGUCGGUUCAUAGCCAGAUUGACAGACAUAUGUGAGCCUAUCUUUCGUCUUUUGAGGAAGAACCAGCCAACAAUUUGGAAUGAUGACUGUCAGUUUGCAUUUGAGAAGGUCAAGGAGUAUUUGCUUUCUCCUCCUGUUUUAGUGCCUCCUACGCCAGGACGUCCACUUCUUCUAUAUUUGUUAGUUUCGGACAUGGCCUUGGGAUGUAUGUUAGCUCAGAUUGAUGACUUAGGAAAGGAGCGAGCUAUUUACUAUCUAAGUAAGAGGAUGUUGGAGUAUGAGAUGAAAUAUGUUAUGAUUGAGCGCCUAUGCUUAGCACUAGUUUGGGCUACCAGGAGAUUGAGGCAUUACAUGACAGAGUACUCAGUACAUUUGAUAUCCCGCCUGGACCCGUUGAGAUACUUGUUUGAUAGACCUGCAUUGACUGGUAGAUUGAUGAGAUGGCUUGUACUUUUGACAGAGUUCGAUAUUCAGUAUGUUCUCAGAAGUCUAUUAAGGGGAGUAUUGUCGCCGAUCACUUAGCCUCACUACCGACAUCUGAGGAUAGACCAGUUGAUGAUGAUUUUCCAGAUGAGGAGUUUGUUGCUAUGACCAGCUUAUCAGGAUGGUGCAUGUACUUCGAUGGUGCAGCCAAUCAGUCAGGGUAUGGGAUAGGUGUUCUAUUGGUAUCCCCUCAGGGUGAUCAUAUUCCGAGGUCCGUUCGUUUGGCAUUCUCUGAUCGACAUCCUGCCACGAAUAACAUAGUUGAGUAUGAGGCUUGUAUCCUUGGUUUAGAGACUGCAUUGGAGCUUGACAUUAGACAGAUGGAGGUGUUUGGUGACUCCAAUCUGGUACUCAGGCAGAUUCAGGGGGAUUGGAAGACUAGGGACGUGAAGCUUAGGCCAUAUCAUGCUUACUUAGAGUUGUUGGUUGCGAGAUUUGACGACUUGAGAUAUGUUCAUCUGCCUAGAGCGCAGAACCGAUUUACUGACGCCUUAGCUACUUUAGCUUCCUCUGUGGACAUUCCGAUUGAUGUAGUCAUACGUCCAUUACUGAUUGAGUCGAGAUCUGCACCCGCCUAUUGUUGUUUGAUUGGGGAGAUAGAGGACCAGGAUGAUCUACCUUGGUAUCAUGACAUUCAUCAGUUCCUCAGAUUUGGCACAUACCCUGAGGUAGCCACUGCCAAGGAUCAGAGAGCACUGAGGCAUUUGGCUACUAGAUUUGUGAUUUGCGGAGAUACCUUAUACAGGCGAUCAGCUGAUGGUAUGCUUCUGUUGUGUUUAGAUCGAGCCUCUACAGAUCGAGUGAUGAGAGAGGUCCAUUCAGGAGUUUGUGGUCCGCAUAUGGGAGGACACAUGCUAGCCCGUAAGAUUAUGAGGACGGGCUAUUUCUGGUUGACUAUGAAGACAGAUUGUUGUCAGCUUGUCCAGAAAUGCCCAGAGUGUCAGAUUCAUGGUGAUCUCAUUCAUGCACCGCCAUCAGAGUUACACGCUUUGACCUCGCCAUGGCCAUUCUCAGUAUGGGGUAUUGAUAUUAUUGGGAAGGUUUCACCAAAAUCUUCCAGUGGUCACGAGUUCAUCCUGGUUGCCAUAGAUUAUUUCACCAAGUGGGUGGAGCCUGCAUCAUAUGCGAGGUUGACAUCUGCUAGGGUUGCUAGUUUCAUCAGAUCACACAUCAUUUGCCACUAUGGGGUUCCUCAUGAGUUGAUUUCCGACAGAGGGGCGCACUUCCGAGCUGAGGUAGACACUUUGUUGCAAGAGUAUGGCAUUCGACAUCAUAGAUCUUCAGCAUAUAGGCCACAGACCAAUGGGGCAGUAGAGGCUGCAAACAAGAAUAUUAAGAGGCUUUUGAGGAAGAUGGUUGAGACUUCUCGAGAUUGGUCAGAGAAGCUUCCUUUUGCAUUGUGGGCAUACCGCACCUCUUUUCGCACCUCUACAGGAGCUACGCCUUACUCCCUAGUGUAUGGUAUGGAGGCUGUUUUGCCAGUCGAGACAGAGAUGGGCUCAUUGAGAGUAGCCCUUGAGCAGCAGAUUUCUGAGACAGAGUGGGCUCAGGCUCGAUUUGAUCAGCUUAACCUUUUAGAUGAGAGGAGAUUGAGAGCAGUAGAUCAUGUUCAGGCCUAUCAGAGAAAGAUGGCUCGUGCCUUCAAGAAACGAGCCAUGCCUAGACCAUUGCAAAAAGGGGACUUAGUUUUGAGGAUUCUCAGAGGUUUGAUUGGAGACCCUAGAGGAAAGUUUAGACCUAGUUGGAGUGGGCCUUAUGUUAUCCGGGAGUUGACUCCAGGAGGGGCUGCAUGGUUGACAGACUUAGAUGGAAACCAAUUUUCAAAGCCUACCAAUGUGGAUCAGCUGAAGAAGUAUUAUGUUUGAGACCGUGGUCGCAGGAUGGGUGGCCACCAUUUCGGUUAGCCUCAUACUUUAUCACCUCUAUAUAUUAGACCGUUGCUAGCCCAUUGAGCUUCGCAUGGUAUGUUAUAGCCUUAUUUCUUCCUUAUAGCUUUGAUUACCAUUUCUAUACCCGGGUUGGGGCCCUUUGAUGUAUAUGUAUGCUUUGCUAGGAAAGUCUCAUGAGCUUUAGACUUAUAGGUCUAUCUUCUCAUUUUGUUACCAUCCUCUUAUCACCCUAUUUGUUCUAUUUUAUUAUCACCACAUAUUCAUUCUCUUUCUUGUCCCUAUCAUUAUUUGCUUCAUCUUUAUCUAUUCUCUUCCUUGGGUUGAUGAUUCUUCACGUCUUAGUGCAAGGAGGGCUGUCAUAUCACUCUAUUCAUUCCAUCAUUUGACAUUGAUUUGGAGAUUUUAGUUUGAGAGGUUGUCUCAGGGGUUGGGGUUCAUGUAUCCAUCAGUGGUUAGAGAGAGUUUGUUCAUUCCUUAUAUUUUUCCAUUGGAGUUUGAUUUAUUGAUGAUCAGAGCAUGCGCCAAAAAUAUAUAUAUAUAUAUAUAUAUAUAUAUAUAUAUAUAUAUAUCAAAAAAAAAAAAAAGCGCAAGGAUAUGCUCAUGUAUGGUAUCUCAUUCCAUUGGGUAUUUAUGCCACCUUUGGAGGUUCAUUUAUUGGGUAUAUUUGUCAUUGUGGGUUUUUGUGAGUUUUUAUGAGUUUUUCAGUCCUUGAGCCACUCUUGUUACGCAUUUGGAGUGUCGAGGGUUCAUGUGAGAGUUCUAUGAGAUCCUAUGCUGCUUGGAUCAUGAUUGAUAUAUAUUAGGUAUGAGAGAUGAGUGACCUUUUUACUAGGGUCUCCGGAUCAUUGUCUUAUACCCACCAUUCCAUCAUUGGUGGUAUGACUUUCCUUUAUUAUACUAACAUGGGUUGAUCAUCACUCAUUCCACUUUCUCAUUGCUUUCUUUUGUAUCCCAUCACCUCUUUCCAGAUCUUCGUUCCACUUUUUAUCCAUUCCCUACUUGUUUGAUACCCAUUACUGAUUUGAUACCUUCUUCACAUCAUUCACAUAUUUCAUUGAUGGUUUGACCAUUCAUCCUUUCUCUCAUUUCGCUAUCGACAUUCCCUUUGGUUACUUCUAAGUCCAUGACUCAUGAGAUUUUUCUAUGCAUUACAUCUUAUACAUGAGGGUAUGGGUUUGAUCAUUGGGUAUUUGAGCCUAGUUUCCUUUCAUUUCUUUCACCCUAUCACCUUGGCCUACGUUACGUCCAGUGUCUUAAGACCACCCUGAGGCCACGAGAUCAGACGAUAUCUUUGACAGUCUUCACUUGGACAGGUUUUUGGUAGAUUGGUUGAAGUAUGGUCGUUACUAUGUUCUCUUUUAAGGAAGAUACUUUUGGAAGCAUUUGGUCUCUCUCUUGCUUGGCAUAUUGAUGUUUGAUGGAUUUUUGGGUUUGGAAACAGUUCAUUGAGGAUAUUGGAUUCAUCCUUUGGUUGUGCAUUAGAUAUCCACACUGGGGCAUAUUCCCCUCUCCUUGAUGAGAUUGUAUUUGGGCAGUGAUAUGAGGAUGGAUGAUGGAUGAUCAUUGUUAGUUUGUUUGCCUCACGACUUCGACAUCCGAUAUCCAUACUGGGUCAUAUUCCCCUCUCCAUUACGAGAUUUAUUUGGGCAGUGAUAUGAGGAUGGAUGAUUGGUGUCGGUUGUUUAGCUUAUGACUUUGACGUCAGAUCUUAUACUGGGGCAUAUUUCCCCCAUUUUCUUUGAGUAUCCUUGAGAUUGAAACAGUGGAAAGGUGGAUUGAUAAUGUGCUGAAGAAACUGAUUAAAUCUUCUGGUAUAGUAUCAGAAUCCCAAGAACAAUGUGCUGAAGAAACUGAUUAGACCUUUAAGCUCUUCUCUAGCAGGGUCUUUGAUAUCAAAUGCCUGUCAGAACCCCCAUUCAGUAAACUGCUUCAAUUUGAGCUUAGGAAUCCAAGGAAGACACGGAUAAGGGAAAGUUGAUUACGCCAGAAUCUAUAUUUCUCAAGAGCAACUCAAGUUUACUGGAACUCUUCACCCUUCACUGGAAUUCAAUAAAACUUUGAACAACAGAGAGCCACAGAAAAGUACUAAAGGAGGGCAGAAUGUAUUUUGGGAUUCAACAUCAGCAGGAUAGUCUCAAAUCUUAUUCCCAGGCUCCACUCCAUCAUGGCAACCUUGCUAUACACACCCUCUCCUCUAUUUACUUCUGUGAUUGGGAACUUACUGUUUUAAAUUGAAUUUUUGAACCAUUGUUCAACUAAACAUUCCCAGCUUUGAAAAAUCCAUAUUAGGAGCAUCUAGGUAUAAAAUCCCAAUUUUAACAUGCUAUUUGCUGCCAUUUUCCUCCGGGCAUGCACUUUCACUAUUUUAUCCGAUUUUUAACUAUUUUCAUGAUUUUCUCGAUUUUCUCAAGCAUGAACAAACUUCAUGAUUCCAAACAAUGGAAUUAAUAGAAUAAAUUCAUGCAAAAGUAAUCAGGGCAUUGGAGGGAGGCCCGACAUUCAUAAUAUUCUCUUCAAUAGUGUCUUGUUUGAUAUUUGAUUGAUUGUGCUUCCUCUUUGUGGUAUAUAUGAGAUUAUUUUGAAUUAGUUAUUGAGUUAAUUUUGUUUCCCAUAGAGGAGUAUUAACUCGCUAAUCAGGUACGCUCUUUCUACCACCACACUUUCCAAAAUUUCAUGAAUAUGAGACAUAACCAUGUUUGAUGCCAUAAUUGAUUGCUUUGAUCCUUGUUGGAUCGUCUUUGAUGAAAAUACAUAUUAUGUGUCAUAUUUCCAAACUAAUAUCUCAUGUUUUGUGAUAGCGUUUGAGAAGCCGUUCAGGUACGCACUUCGACUCUCUCUUAUGGUUGGUUUUCUUAUUAGGCAUGCAAUAUUUGAAAUCACCUAGCCUACUCAGGUAUCCAUAAUUAACUGAUUAAUGGCCACACUUCCCUUAACUUUGUCAGUAGAGACCUUUAGAGGGCUUAGAGGGGUGCUACCUUUUAAAGGUACCUUCCCAAUAGGUUAUCUGAUCCCCGGACCUAGACUCGGGUUUUUCAAAGACACGCUUUUCCAAAAAUUGUGGAGUCAUUUUUUUAGGGUUUUAUUUCUUGUUUUAUUUUCCCUUCAAAAAUAAAAAUAAAAUAAGUGGCGACUCCAACUUUUUUUAAAAUUAAUUUUUCACAAUAAAAAGCGAGUCUCGCCGAUCGAGUGGGGACGCACGUGAAAAAUGCGGGUCCACAAAUUGGCGACUCCACUGGGGAUCUCUGAUCGGUGAAAAUGACCAGACUCAAAGAAAGUGCUCCACUAGGGGCUCAUCUCAACCAAAUGAAAGGGAAUAUGCCCCAGUAAGAUAAUUGAUGCACAGUAGAAUGAAAAUCUGGAUAGCAUCAAAUAUCAUCCAUAAAAUGAAGCAAUCAUCCACAUCCAUCACCAAAUCACCUCCAAGCAUCAAAGAAGCAUCUCCCAGAAGAAGAAACAUGACAACAUCUAUAUAUUAACCAAAUCCCAAACACCAACCUAAGUAGAGGCUGUCAAAGAGAAUACACACGGUUUCAUGGCUCCUCCCAAGCCUCACAAAAUUCUAAUGGUGGCUGAGAAGCCCAACAGUGCUCUUUCUAUCUCCUUGGCUCUCUCUGGUGGUCACAUGUCUACUAGGUGUAGUAGUACAGAAGUCCAUGAAUUUAAUGGAACCUUUCGUGGAUCUAAUGCACAAUAUAAGGUAACAACAGACAAGAAAGCUCCAAAAUUGUUGAAUUAAACAAAGAGCAGUCCAUGUUUAUCAGACUUUGAUGGUCAGAAUUGCUCCUCUGCUUCAAACCUCAUGCUACACUGUCUCCAGCAAACGGUGAAUCAAAAUGACAUUCAUUCAAAUUGUUGUAGCAAAGGAUGGCCUUUGCUGUAGUGCUUUGAUAGGUUCAGUUGUAGUAAACAUCAAUAAUAAAUAGCUCGUCCAACUUUGCAUCUUUCAUGUGACUACUCUAGUUAACAGAAUAUUAGAAUGUCAUGAAACUUGCUGAUUAUUUGUGGAAAAAUCAGGGACUGAAGUUCUACUCAAGCUAUUGCUUGGGCCUAAUUUUGCCCAGUUUUUCGGAAUGGUGCCAUUUGCUCUAUACGAUACCCUGGUCUACAAAAUAGCAUCCAGCAUCACCUAGACACACUGAUUAUUAGUACUCUAUGAAACUAAACAGACUUUGUUUACGACUGAUUUGUGGCAGAAGCAGAGUAAGAGAAGGGGGAGGGUAUUGGCUUGUUUCCCUGACCUUUAGCUCGACAUAAUUUGACAGAUAUCAGGCUCUUCGAGUAGCUCAGACUUUUUUUAAAAUUUUUGUGAGUGGGAAGAGUAAGACACACGACAAAUUGGAGCUUCAAGAUUGCAUGAUUAAUUUCUAGAGACAUUUGAGAAGCGGAUGAAUUUUGGCUUCAGCAAAAGAAAACUAAGAACUCGAAAAUCUAGUUACAGCCAAAUCAAAUGCUAUCAAGCAUAUUGGCCUCAAAGCAAUGAGGUUUAAGACAGCAAAAGGACUCUGUACCUGUGGAGAUUGAAACUGAUCUAGCUGCCUAUCACAUCAAGGAUAUCCUUAGUUUGCUCUUGAUGAAUAAAUAGGAAGCACAUACAGACUUUAUUCGUUUGUCCAGCUAAGAGACCAAUUGAUACAGAAUUCUGGAACUGUUAUGGAAUUGGUAGAGCUUUUAAUAGAAAUACAGAUCAAACACCAUCAUUAAAGAUGAAAACCAAGUUCAGUGCAGAUUGUUUAAGACAGAAAGAAAAUAGUCUCCGUGUGUGACAGAAGUUAAGAAUGGUGUCUAAACAUUCUUGCUCUCUAUUGGAAUUCCUCAGCAAACAGCAGAAUUUGAAUCAUAUAUUCGAAAUCACCUAGCCUACUUAGGUAUCCAUAAUUAACUGAUUAAUGGUCACACUUCCCUUAACUUUGUUAGUAGAGACCUUUAUAGGGCUUAAAGGGGUGCUACCUUUUAAAGGUACCUUCCCAAUAGGUAACCUGAUCCCUGGACUUAGACUCGGGUUUCUCAAAGACAUGCUUUUUCCAAAACUAUGGAGUCACUUUUUAGGGUUUUUCUUUCUUGUUUUAUUUUCCCUUUAAAAUAAAAAUAAAAUAGGUGGCGACUCCAACUUUUUUAAAAUUAAUUUUUCACAAAUAAAAAGCGAGUCUCGCCGAUCGAGUGGGGACGCACGUGAAAAAUGCGGGUCCACAAAUUGGCGACUCCACUGGGGAUUUUGAGGAUCAAGCUUGAACACUAGUUGAGGAAAAUGUGGCGUUUAAUUGGUCGAUUAGUGGGUACCUCCUUUUUAGGCAAGGUGAUUCGAUUUGCUUGAUUGUUUGGUUUGCUAUCUUACCAUGUUUGAUUGCCUUGGAUGAUCACUUGAUUGUUUUGCUCACUUUAGCAUGAUUCACUCUCACAUAUGCUAGAUAGGACUUUGAUUGUAUGAUACUUAUCUACUUGGUAUGACUGCUUGUUGCAUGACAACCCUUUCUCUUGCAUGAUUGUAUGAUUGCUUGUCUUUGUUCACUAUCUCACUUUAGAUCUUAGGUUUUUCAGAUGCACCCACAUCCUUCAUUGUGCACUUUAGAUUAUCCCUGAGUGUUGAGAGAUGGGAGAGCCUUCACCCUUAAGAAACCCCCUGGGAACGCGAGGAAGUGCAUGUGUGGGGGUGAUGACCACCUUGCAUGGAAGCACCCCGUCUCCUUGGAGGCGUGCAGAGGGUUGUGUACCACCGGAGGGUACGAUCGCUUCUGCUAGAGAUCCUUUAACCCACCCAUUUUAUCUUAUAGAGCCGCCUUAACCUUGUAGGUUAGCCUAGACCCAAUUAAGAUUUCAUUCCUACACGUGGGUGCAUCUGUGGACCUUUAGAGCUGCCUUGGUCACGAUUGGGAUUGGUUAUCCUUUCCUUAGUCUCUUUUUGGUGUAAUCAGAGGAGGGUGUCAGAUUGAGUAUAUUUGGGCUUUGCUUCUACGCCUUUGAUUCAUACAGAGUCACCUUCGAGUUGCACCUUAUUCAGUGUUUCCAUAUUUGUAGGAGGGUUUACCGUGACCGAUCUGGAUUCACCUUUGUGGAUUAGAGUUGGAGGUAGAUUGUGCAGAGUAUCAGACCAGUCAAAUCAGAGAUCAGAUCAGAGGGAUAUGGACUCACAGGUAGUUACCGUUGACCAGUUUGCCGCAGCCAUGGCUUCUAUCCAGGAGGCUAUAGCUAACCUUGGUCAGAGGAUAGAUGGACAGCAGACCCAGCAGGUCCCAGUUCAAGAGAGUGCCCAGUUUGAUACCACAAUACCGCCACCACCUCUGCCUAGUCAGUCAGUACCACAGGCUAUACCUUUCACUCUGCAUAGUCAGAUCGAGGUUGCCCCGCCUCCCAUCACAUCACCUAUCCCGGCUUCAGAGGACCCACACACACGUAUGGAUAGACUCGAGCAGAAGUUGAGACAGAUGAGGACUUCAGAGGGAGCUAUUACUUGGGAGGAUUUUGAUGGAGCACCAGUGGCCAAUCUACCGGCCAAGUUUAGGAUGCCUGAGAUUGAGAGAUACACAGGCAUAGGAUGCCCUCGCAUCCAUUUGAGACUCUAUAGUACUGUUAUGAGGGCCCAUGGACUGGAUGAUGCCCAGAUGGUUAUGCUCUUCCCUAUGUCAUUGAGUGGAGCUGCACAGCGUUGGUUCGCUUCAUUGGAGGUAUCACGUCGUAGGACUUGAGAUGACUUAGCCCAGGAGUUUUUGAGACAGUUUGCAUUUAACACUGUCAUUGAUGUUUCGAGGAGAGAGUUGGAGGCUUUGAGACAGAGGCCGGAGGAGUCAGUCACUUCAUUUAUCUCCUGCUGGAGGGAGAAUAUUUCACAGAUUAUAGACCGUCCUUCAGAGAGAGAUCAGAUUAGCAUGAUCAUGAGGAGCUUGCAGCCUAGAUUUGCUAGACACUUGAUGGGAUUUCCCCAUACGGAUUUUGGAUCUUUGGUACAGGCUUUGUACGGUAUAGAGGAGGGCAUUGCUAGAGGAUUAUGGUCUGAGUCUUCCCCUACUGAUUCUAAGAGGAAGAGGUCUUUAGGAGGACAGAGAUCAGGAGAUGUUGGAGCUAUCAGUUCAGCAGGAAUGAGACCUUCUAGACGCUAUCAGACAGUUGGGCAGACUCCUGGGUACUACUAUCCACCUUCACCUCAUGCGCAUUAUAGACCACCCGCUCCUUCCAGACCCAUGACUCCUACUUAUAUGCAUCCGGACUCGCAGCCUGUUUUUGCUGCACAUGUCGCAGAGAGGCCUCCUGCCCCAUAUACUCGACCCCGAGCUCCACAGACCACUACUUAUGUGCAGAGGCCACCACGUCAGUUUGCUCAGUUGGGUAUGCCUUUGAGUCGAGCUUUUCAGAAGCUCACAGAGGGUGGAUUACUGAUUCCAUUAGCAUCCAGGCCUUUACCCCAACCCAUACCACCUCGCUUCAGGAUGGACUUACAUUGUUCCUAUCAUCAGGGACCAGGGCAUGACACGGACCAUUGCACUGCUUUGAGACAUGCUAUUCAGGACUUGAUAGAUCAAGGUUUGGUCAACUUAGGGUAGCUAAGUGUGACCACUAACCCUCUUCCUGCUCAUUUUACACACACAGUGCAUCCAUCUUCAGGAGAUAUUCAUCACAUGGACCUUAUAAAGGAUGACUGUAUACACAUGUUGAGUUGGGAUGAUGGAUUACCCAAACCGAUUGUUUUGCAUGACAGCUAUGAGAUUGAUGGGGUUUCAUUGGUCCCUUAGACUCCUGCACUAUUCAGUUUGAUCCCGGACGAGGCACCAUUCCAGUUGACUCAUCUUAUACCCUUAGUUAUCGGAUGUCAGGAUAUUUUUGUCCCUUUCACCUUAUGGCCAGAGGAUGAUGAUUCAGAGGGGAGAGAGAUACAGAUUGUGACUCGUAGUGGGAGGAUAGCUCAGCCACCACCACCAGCAGUCAGACCAUUUGAGGGUACAGCCUCUCAUGAGGAGGUUAGGAGAGAGGAUGAUGAGGUUUUGAGACAGUUACAGAGUACUCAGGCUCGCAUUUCCAUCUGGAGUUUAUUAGCAUCAUCCAGUACUCAUAGAGAUGCUUUGAUUCGAGCCUUGAGUCAGAUUAGAGUAGAGACUACCACCACUCUAGAGGGAUUGAUUCAUAUGAUGAUGGCUGGCAGAGCCACUUGCAUUGUAUUUUCAGAUGAUGACUUGCCACCUGAUGGUUUAGACCACGUGCGCCCUCUAUACAUCACAGUUGGAUGUUCAGGCCGUAGAGUCUCGUCUGUCCUACUGGACAACGGCUCAGCCCUGAAUGUUUGUCCUUUAGCCACUACUAUAACCCUUGGUUUCGUGCCUUCAGAUUUUGGUCCUUCUACUCAGACAGUCAGGGCGUAUGAUAGCACCAAGAGGGAGGUUAUGGGUACCUUGAUGAUUGAUUUGCAGAUUGGUCCAACCACAUUUUCCACUUUGUUCCAGGUUUUGAGGAUUCCUACAUCCUUUAACCUGCUACUGGGCCGACCAUGGAUUCAUGUAGUUGGAGCUAUUCCUUCUUCCCUUCAUCAGAAGGUGAAGUUCAUUCAUGAUGGGCAAGUUAUCACAGUACAGUCCACCAGGGAUAUGUUAGCCUCUUCCGAGCCAGUACUUCAGAUUAGUCAUAGUGAGGAUGACCUAUUUUUGACUGGAUUUACUUUUGAUGAGAUACAGACUCUCGAGAUUGAGGAUUUUCAUAGAGACUUUGUGGCUAUGUCAUUUGAUCAGCACAGUAGCACAGUGGUCCUUGAUAUGAUGAGGGGUAUGACCUUUCUACCUGGCAUGGGGUUAGGACGACGUCAGCAGGGACCGAGUGAGUUCAUAGCUGCCAUUGACCAUGAUACGACAUUUGGACUUGGAUUCAUCCCUACUGAGGCCGAUUACCGUCACAUGGCGCAGCUGCGCAAGGAGAGGGUGAGAGCCCGUUUAUCCCACACACCAUUUGAUUAUCCUAUUCGACCCUAUAGGAUGAGUUUGGCUGACUACUUUGUCAGAGGAUCAGAGACUCGACCUCGUCUAGAGGAGAUUGAUAGUGUGGUUCAUACAGAUAGGGAGACCGAUCUUCAGCAUCUAUUUCACCAGCUACAGUUGAGUGAUGGGGCUCCCGACACUUCUUUCCCUAUGGCGAUUACUCCCACGUCUCUAGAUUGAACUAGCAUGUUGUCUCUAUGCUUUCCAGAGGAGAUCACGAGUGAUGGGGUGAAUGUUGAUCCUACUGAGGUGAUUGAUGGAGUUGUUCCCCAUGAUGAGUACCGUGAUGAGAUGGACAUGAUGACCGUGAGCCAGAUUAUAGGCAUUGUUCAGCUUCAGCCUGUUUCAGCAUUUGAUAUGUUUGGGGUGUCUACCAUUGAGGUUUUUGAGGGGACUCAGAAUCUUCCUGUUCCAAAGCUUCCAGAGGAUGAUAGUAGUUUGUUUGAGGGCAUCGUUAGCUUAGUUGAGGGAGCGUCCGACCUUGUGGACCCACCUCUUUCUUUUGAUGUUUUAUCGGGAUUUGUCUCCCGCUCUGACAAUGUUUCUGUUGCUUCAUUUAUGGAUUUGAGCAUUUUUUAGUAUUCGCCUGUCUCUUGUGAUAGUAUCUCUAUAUCUGCACCCCACCCACCCACUUCACAGAUAUUUGAUAUAGAUGAUGAGAUUACACAGCCCGGUUCGGAUAGGGACUCUUUGGAUCAUGACUCUGGUCCCAUAGAUGAGAGAGUUUCACCUGCUGCAGGGGACAUUGAGAUUGUUGAUUUUGGCACAGAGGAUCAGCCUAGAGAGUUGAAGAUUGGUUCAUCUCUAUCUAGAGAUGAGAGAGAUAGACUCAUCCAUUUACUCAGGUCAUAUUUGGAUGUCUUUGCAUGGUCUUAUGAGGACAUGACAAGUCUUGAUCCCUCUAUAGUCCAGUACCAUUUACCUACCCUACCACAUGCUAGACCAGUUAAGCAGAAAUUGAGACGGUUGCAUCCACGUUGGAGUCUACAGGUAAAAGAGGAGAUUCAGAAACAACUCAGUGUUGGGUUCAUAUCAGUAGUUGAGUAUCCAAAGUGGUUGGCUAAUGUCGUCCCUGUUCCUAAAAAGGAUGGCAAAGUUAGGGUUUGUGUUGACUUCAGAGAUCUCAAUAAAGCCAGCCCUAAAGAUGACUUUCCCCUUCCACACAUUGAUUUGUUGGUUGAUGGCACCGCAGGCCAUUCGAUGUUGUCUUUCAUGGAUGAGUUUUCAGGGUAUAAUCAGAUUUUGAUGGCUCCAGAGGAUAUGGAGAAGACAGCCUUUAUUACUGAGUGGGGUACCUACUGUUACAGAGUUAUGCCAUUUGGGUUGAAGAACGCAGGAGCCACUUAUCAGAGAGCCGCUACCACUUUGUUUCACGACAUGAUGCAUAGGGAUGUCGAGGUUUACGUAGAUGAUAUGAUUGUGAAAUCCCAAGGUAGAGCAGAUCACCUAGAUGCUUUAAAGAGAUUCUUUGAGAGGAUCCGCAAGUUUAGAUUGAGGUUGAAUCCCAAGAAGUGUACCUUUGGAGUGACUUCUGGGAAGUUAUUGGGACAUAUAGUCAGUGAGCGGGGCAUAGAGGUCGACCCAGAUAAAAUCAAAGCCAUACUUGACAUGCCUGCACCAAAGACUGAGAAAGAGAUUAGAGGUUUUCUGGGCAGAUUACAGUACAUUAGUCGGUUCAUAGCCAGAUUGAUAGACAUAUGUGAGCCUAUCUUUCGUCUUUUGAGGAAGAACUAGCCAACAAUUUGGAAUGAUGACUGUCAGUUUGCAUUUGAGAAGGUCAAGGAGUAUUUGCUUUCUCCUCCUGUUUUAGUGCCUCCUACGCCAGGACGUCCACUUCUUCUAUAUUUGUCAGUUUCAGACAUGGCCUUGGGAUGUAUGUUAGCUCAGAUUGAUGACUUAGGAAAGGAACGAGCUAUUUACUACCUAAGUAAGAGGAUGUUGGAGUAUGAGAUGAAAUAUGUUAUGAUUGAGCGCCUAUGCUUCACACUAGUUUGGGCUACCAGGAGAUUGAGGCAUUACAUGACAGAGUACUCAGUACAUUUGAUAUCCCGCUUGGACCCGUUGAGAUACUUGUUUGAUAGACCUGCAUUGACUGGUAGAUUGAUGAGAUGGCUUGUACUUUUGACAGAGUUCGAUAUUCAGUAUGUUUCUCAGAAGUCUAUUAAGGGGAGUAUUGUCGCCGAUCACUUAGCCUCACUACCGACAUCUGAGGAUAGACCAGUUGAUGAUGAUUUUCCAGAUGAGGAGUUUGUUGCUAUGACCAGCUUAUCAAGAUGGUGCAUGUACUUCGAUGGUGCAGCCAAUCAGUCAGGGUAUGGGAUAGGUGUUCUAUUGGUAUCCCCUCAGGGUGAUCAUAUUCCGAGGUCCGUUCGUUUGGAAUUCUCUGAUCGACAUCCUGCCACGAAUAACAUAGUUGAGUAUGAGGCUUGUAUCCUUGGUUUAGAGACUGCAUUGGAGCUUGACAUUAGACAGAUGGAGGUGUUUGGUGACUCCAAUCUGGUACUCAGGCAGAUUCAGGGGGAUUGGAAGACUAGAGACGUGAAGCUUAGGCCAUAUCAUGCUUACUUAGAGUUGUUGGUUGCCAGAUUUGACGACUUGAGAUAUGUUCAUCUGCCUAGAGCGCAGAACCGAUUUACUGACGCCUUAGCUACUUUAGCUUCCUCUGUGGACAUUCCGAUUGAUGUAGUCAUACGUCCAUUACUGAUUGAGUCGAGGUCUGCAUCCGCCUAUUGUUGUUUGAUUGGGGAGAUAGAGGACCAGGAUGAUCUACCUUGGUAUCAUGACAUUCAUCAGUUCCUCAGAUUUGGCACAUACCCUGAGGUAGCCACUGCCAAGGAUCAGAGAGCACUGAGGCAUUUGGCUACUAGAUUUGUGAUUUGCGGAGAUACCUUAUACAGGCGAUCAGUUGAUGGUAUGAUUUUGUUGUGUUUAGAUCGAGCCUCUGCAGAUCGAGUGAUGAGAGAGGUCCAUUCAGGAGUUUGUGGUUCACAUAUGGGAGGACACAUGCUAGCCCGUAAGAUUAUGAGGACGGGCUAUUUCUGGUUGACUAUGGAGACAGAUUGUUGUCAGUUUGUCCAGAAAUGCCCAGAGUGUCAGAUUCAUGGUGAUCUCAUUCAUGCACCGCCAUCAGAGUUACACGCUUUGACCUCGCCAUGGCCAUUCUCAGUAUGGGGUAUUGAUAUUAUUGGGAAGGUUUUACCAAAAUCUUCCAGUGGUCACGAGUUCAUCCUGGUUGCCAUAGAUUAUUUCACCAAGUGGGUGGAGGCUGCAUCAUAUGCGAGGUUGACAUCUGCUAGGGUUGCUAGUUUCAUCAGAUCACACAUCAUUUGCCGCUAUGGGGUUCCUCAUGAGUUGAUUUCCGACAGAGGGGCGCACUUCCGAGCUGAGGUAGACACUUUGUUGCAGGAGUAUGGCAUUCGACAUCAUAGAUCUUCAGCAUAUAGGCCACGGACCAAUAGGUCAGUAGAGGCUGCAAACAAGAAUAUUAAGAGGAUUUUGAGGAAGAUGGUUGAGACUUCUCGAGAUUGGUCAGAGAAGUUUCCUUUUGCAUUGUGGGCAUACCGCACCUCUACAGGAGCUACGCCUUACACCCUAGUGUAUGGUAUGGAGGCUGUUUUGCCAGUCGAGACAGAUAUGGGCUCAUUGAGAGUAUCCCUUGAGCAGCAGAUUUCUGAGACAGAGUGGGCUCAGGCUCGAUUUGAUCAGCUUAACCUUUUAGAUGAGAGGAGAUUGAGAGCAGCAGAUCAUGUUCAGGCCUAUCAGAGAAAGAUGGCUCGUGCCUUCAAGGAGAUUGGGGCCCUUUGAUGUAUAUGUAUGCUUUGCUAGGAAAGUCUCAUGAGCUUUAGACUUAUAGGUCUAUCUUCUCAUUUUGCUACCAUCCUCUUAUCACCCUAUUUGUUCUAUUUUAUUAUCACCACAUAUUCAUUCUCUUUCUUGUCCCUAUCAUUAUUUGCUUCAUCUUUAUCUAUUCUCUUCCUUGGGUUGAUGAUUCUUCACGUCUUAGUGCAAGGAGGGCUGUCAUAUCACUUUAUUCAUUCCAUCAUUUGACAUUGAUUCGGAGAUUUUAGUUUGGGAGGUUGUCUCAGGGGUUGGGGUUCAUGUAUCCAUCAGUGGUCAGUGAGACUUUGUUCAUUCCUUAUAUUUUUCCAUUGGAGUUUGAUUUAUUGAUGAUCAGAGCAUGCGCCAAAAAAAAAUAUAUAUAUAUAUCAAAAAAAAAAAAAAGCGCAAGGAUAUGCUCAUGUAUGGUAUCUCAUUCCAUUGGGUAUUUAUGCCACCUUUGGAGGUUCAUUUAUUGGGUAUAUUUGUCAUUGUGGGUUUUUGUGAGUUUUUAUGAGUUUUUCAGUCCUUGAGCCACUCUUGUUACGCAUUUGGAGUGUCGAGGGUUCAUGUGAGAGUUCUAUGAGAUCCUAUGCUGCUUGGAUCAUGAUUGAUAUAUAUUAGGUAUGAGAUAUGAGUGACCUUUUUACUAGGGUCUCCGGAUCAUUGUCUUAUACCCACCAUUCCAUCAUUGGUGGUAUGACUUUCCUUUAUUGUACUAACAUGGGUUGAUCAUCACUCAUUCCACUUUCUCAUUGCUUUCUUUUGUAUCCCAUCACCUCUUUCCAGAUCUUCGUUCCACUUUUUAUCCAUUCCCUACUUGUUUGAUACCCAUUACUGAUUUGAUACCUUCUUCACAUCAUUCACAUAUUUCAUUGAUGGUUUGACCAUUCAUCCUUUCUCUCAUUUCGCUAUCGACAUUCCCUUUGGUUACUUCUAAGUCCAUGACUCAUGAGAUUUUUCUAUGCAUUACAUCUUAUACAUGAGGGUAUGGGUUUGAUCAUUGGGUAUUUGAGCCUAGUUUCCUUUCAUUUCUUUCACCCUAUCACCUUGGCCUACGUUACGUCCCGUGUCUUAAGACCACCCUGAGGCCACGAGAUCAGACGAUAUCUUUGACAGUCUUCACUUGGACAGGUUUUUGGUAGAUUGGUUGAAGUAUGGUCGUUACUAUGUUCUCUUUUAAGGAAGAUACUUUCGGAAGCAUUUGGUCUCUCUCUUGCUUGGCAUAUUGAUGUUUGAUGGAUUUUUGGGUUUGGAAACAGUUCAUUGAGGAUAUUGGAUUCAUCCUUUGGUUGUGCAUUAGAUAUCCACACUAGGGCAUAUUCCCCUCUCCUUGAUGAGAUUGUAUUUGGGCAGUGAUAUGAGGAUGGAUGAUGGAUGAUCAUUGUUAGUUUGUUUGCCUCACGACUUCGACAUCCGAUAUCCAUACUGGGGCAUAUUCCCCUCUCCAUUAUGAGAUUUAUUUGGGCAGUGAUAUGAGGAUGGAUGAUUGGUGUCGGUUGUUUAGCUUAUGACUUUGACGUCAGAUCUUAUACUGGGGCAUAUUUCCCCCAUUUUCUUUGAGUAUCCUUGAGAUUGAAACAAUGGAAAGGUGGAUUGAUAAUGUGCUGAAGAAACUGAUUAAAUCUUCUGGUAUAGUAUCAGAAUCCCAAGAACAAUGUGCUGAAGAAACUGAUUAGACCCUUAAGCUCUUCUCUAGCAGGGUCUUUGAUAUCAAAUGCCUGUUAGAACCCCCAUUCAGUAAACUGCUUCAAUUUGAGCUCAGGAAUCCAAGGAAGACACGGAUAAGGGAAAGUUGAUUACGCCAGAAUCUGUAUUUCUCAAGAGCAACUCAAGUUUACUGGAACUCUUCACCCUUCACUGGAAUUCAAUAAAACUUUGAACAACAGAGAGCCACAGAAAAGUACUAAAGGAGGGCAGAAUGUAUUUUGGGAUUCAACAUCAGCAGGAUAGUCUGAAAUCUUAUUCCCAGGCUCCACUCCAUCAUGGCAACCUUGCUAUACACACCCUCUCCUCUAUUUACUUCUGUGAUUGGGAACUUACUGUUUUAAAUUGAAUUUUUGAACCAUUGUUCAACUAAACAUUCCCAGCUUUGAAAAAUCCAUCUUAGGAGCAUCUAGGUAUAAAAUCCCAAUUUUAACAUGCUAUUUGCUGCCAUUUUCCUCCGGGCAUGCACUUUCACUAUUUUAUCCGAUUUUUAACUAUUUUCAUGAUUUUCUCGAUUUUCUCAAGCAUGAACAAACUUCAUGAUUCCAAACAAUGGAAUUAAUAGAAUAAAUUCAUGCAAAAGUAAUCAGGGCAUUGGAGGGAGGCCCGACAUUCAUAAUAUUCUCUUCAAUAGUGUCUUGUUUGAUAUUUGAUUGAUUGUGCUUCCUCUUUGUGGUAUAUAUGAGAUUAUUUUGAAUUAGUUAUUGAGUUAAUUUUGUUUCCCAUAGAGGAGUAUUAACUCACUAAUCAAGUACGCUCUUUCUACCACCACACUUUCCAAAAUUUCAUGAAUAUGAGACAUAACCAUGUUUGAUGCCAUAAUUGAUUGCUUUGAUGCUUGUUGGAUCGUCUUUGAUGAAAAUACAUAUUAUGUGUCAUAUUUCCAAACUAAUCUCUCAUGUUUUGUGAUAGCGUUUAAGAAGCCGUUCAGGUACGCACUUCGACUCUCUCUUAUGGUUGGUUUUCUUAUUAGGCAUGCAAUAUUUGAAAUCACCUAGCCUACUCAGGUAUCCAUAAUUAACUGAUUAAUGGCCACACUUCCCUUAACUUUGUCAGUAGAGACCUUUAGAGGGCUUAGAGGGGUGCUACCUUUUAAAGGUACCUUCCCAAUAGGUAAUCUGAUCCCUGGACCUAGACUCGGGUUUUUCAAAGACACGAUUUUCCAAAAAUUGUGGAGUCAUUUUUUUAGGGUUUUAUUUCUUGUUUUAUUUUCCCUUCAAAAAUAAAAAUAAAAUAAGUGGCGACUCCAACUUUUUUAAAAUUAAUUUUUCACAAUAAAAAGCGAGUCUCGCCGAUCGAGUGGGAACGCACGUGAAAAAUGUGGGUCCACACUUUCAUCCCAUAUAAACUUAGCAUCCUUAGCCAAAAGUUCACAAAGAGGUUUUGAAAGCUUAGAGAAGUCUUUUAUAAACCUCCUAUAGAACCCUGCAUAGCCAAGGAAUUGUCUUACUCCUUUUAUAGUUGUUGGGGAUGGCAAUUUGACAAUGAGUUCCACCUUUGCUUUAUCAACUUCAAUGCCUUUCUCGGAGAUGAUAUGGCCAAGGACAAUUCCUUGAUGUACCAUAAAAUGGCAUUUCUCCCAGUUGAGCACUAAGUCCUUUUCAAUGCAUCUGUUCAUAACUGCUUCCAAAUUGGUUAAGCAUUCUUCAAAUGUACCUCCAUAUAUGGUGAUGUCAUCCAUGAAAACCUCCAUAAUUCGCUCCACCAUAUCACUGAAGAUACUUAGCAUACAUCGUUGGAAGGUUGUAGGUGCAUUACAUAAACCAAAAGGCAUUCUUCUGUAGGCAUAUGUUCCAAAUGGACAUGUGAAAGUGGCCUUCUCCUGAUCUUCAACAUCAAUUUCAAUUUGAAAAUACCCGGAGUACCCGUCCAAGAAACAAUAGAAAGGAUGGUCAAAGACUCUCUCCAACACUUGAUCAAUAAAUGGCAGUGGAAAAUGAUCUUUCCUUGUCACAGCAUUCAAUUUUCUAUAAUCAAUACACACCCUCCAACCUGAAGUGAGGCGUGUAGUAAUUUCUUCUCCUUUUUCAUUUUGAACCAUAGUAAUCCCUGACUUCUUUGGUACCACUUGAGUAAGACUCACCCAAGGGCUAUCAGAUAUGGUGUAAAUAAUACCUGCUUGAAGUAGCUUCAGCACCUCAGCUUGCACUACCUCUUGUAAAUGAGGAUUCAAUCUUCUUUGAGAUUGGCGAAUUGGUUUAGCUUCUUCCUCCAUGUAUAUAUGAUGUGUACAAACCAAAGGACUGAUGCCUUUCAAGUCAGAUAUUUGUCAUCCUAUUGUUUUCUUACACCUCUUGAGAACUUCAAGUAAACACUUCUCCUGAGGACUAGUAAGAGAUGAAGAUAUAACAACAAGGCAUUGUUUAUUCUCUUCCAGGUAUGUGUAUUUCAACUCCAUGGGCAGAGGCUUCAAAUUGAGCUUUGGGGUAUCCUCUUUAGCAGCUUCUUGUGUCUCCUCUUUAUUGAACAAAGGUAGAAUCUCUUCUCUCCUCCUCCAACCUUGUAGAGUAACAAGCAUAUCAGAGGGUUCAGGCAACCCUUCUUCAAGAUCCCCAAGACUUUCAUUCAACUUGUCUUGCAUAUUCUGAUUACAGUGCUCCUCCACUAGAGUGUCAAUAUGCAUACCUCUUCUGGACCUUCUUCUUCUUCCGGAGUGAUUAGCUUUUUAGACAUAUAAAAGAUAUUGAGCUCAAGUGUCAUGUUGCCAAACAUGAGUUGCAUGAGUCCAUUCCUACAAUUUAUAAUUGCAUUUGAGGUAGCAAGAAACGGUCUUCCAAGGAUGAUAGGAACAUAAUUAGCUUCCUUGACAAUGAGGUCCAUAUCAAGAGCAACAAAAUCUACGGGAUAUUAGAAAUUAUCAACUUGAACUAAGACAUCUUCAAUUAUCCCCCCUAGAAUUUUCACUGAUCUAUCUGCUAGAGAUAGAGUGAUUGAUGUUGGCUUUAAUUCACUAAGUCCCAAUUGCUUGUAAAUAGAGUAUGGUAGCAAAUUCACACUUGCUCCCAAGUCUAACAAAGCUUUCUCCACUACCUUUCCUCCAAUCAUGACUGAAAUGGUAGGACAUCCCGAAUCUUUGUACUUCAAAGAAGACUUGCAUUGUAUGAUAGCACUUACUUGCUCAGCCAAGAAGGCUUUCUUAUUCACAUUCAACCCUCUUUUGAUAGUACACAAAUCCUUUAGAAAUUUUGCAUAGGUAGGAACUUGUUUAAUCAUAUCUAGCAAUGGGAUAUUGACCUUCACUUGUCUCAAUACUUCAAGAAUUUCUGAUGCAUUUCUGAUGCAUUUCUGAUUCCCUUUUUCCCUUGCAAAGCUUGAGGAAAAGGUGGAGAGGUGUGUUUCUUCAACAUUUCUUCCUUAAUAAGCACUUUCUUUGGAUUUGCAUUCACUGUUGAAUCAUGGUCCUCUUUCCCUUCACUGAUAUCUUUCUUCUUUCCUUUAAUUUCCUCCAUCUUCUCUAUCUCUUCUUCUUCUUCCUCUUCAACAUAUGGCUUGGGUGUUGGCAACUCAACCUUUUUACCACUCCUUAGAGUGAUCAAGGCUUUGACAUCUCUCACCUGUGAAGAUUCUCCUUCAUGAGUUUCCACUUCAUGGAUACCUUUGGGGUUUUGGUGAGGUUGAGAAGGAAAUCUACCCUUCUCUUGCACUGUGUUCAAGUUAGUGAGCCUUGAGAUUGAGUAUUGGAGAUUAUCUAUCUUCUGAGAUAAGUCAUUUUGCAUCUCAUCCAUCCUUUUAUUCAAUGUAUUCUCUACACUGUCAAUUCUUUGACUGAGUUGAGCAUUGAUGGAUUUUUUGUCUCCAACAAAAUCUCCCACAACCUUGCUGAGAUUCACUAUUGCUUGUUCAAGGCUUGAAGCUUGUUGAGAUGGUUGAUUCGGUUGUUGUUAAUGAGGUGCUCUUUGCUUCCAUGAGAAAUUUGGAUGAUUCCUCCAACUUGAGUUGUAAGUAUUUCCAUACGGAGCAUUGUUACUGGGCUUGAAUUGUCCAAUGACAUUUGCUUGUUCUCCAAACAUUUCUCUAGCAGCUGGAAUUGUAGGGCACUCCUCCACUAAGUGUUCAUAAGAUUGACAAAUAGGACAUGGCUUUACUUGCAUUGGUGUCUCAGCAACAGCUUGCACUUCAUGUAUCUUUUUCAGUUCUAGCUCCUCCAAUCUUCUUGUCAUAGCUGCAAACUUUGCUUUCAUAUCAACAUCUUCAUUCAAGGUGUACAUCCCAGCCUUAGCAUUGAAAGCAUUCGGUUGAGACUUCAUCUUCCCCACUUCUCCUUUGUUUGGUUCAUCCCAUCCCCUUGAAACUUCAGCCACAUAACUCAAGAAAUCCAUAGCUUCCUCCAGAUUCUUACUCAUGAAAUCUCCUCCACACAUUGUCUCGAGGAGUUGCUUCAUUGAGGAAAACAUCCCAUCAUAGAAAUAACUCACCAAUAGCCAUGUAUCAAAACCAUGGUGAGGACAAGCAUUGAUGGCUUCCAUGUAUCUUUCCCAACACUCAUAGAAUUUCUCACUCUCUUUAGCUGAGAAGUUUGAAAUUUUCCUUUUCAAGCCAUUUGUUCUGUGAGUAGGAAAAAACUUCUUGAGGAAUUCAGCUUGUAAAUCAGUCCAAGUACGGAUACUCCUUGGCCUUAAAGAAUUAAGCCAAAUCUUGGCCUUAUCCUUUAAAGUAAAAGGAAAUAGCUUAAGCCUCAUCAAGUCGAUUGAAGCUCCUCCUUCUUGGAAUGUAUUACAAACAUCUUCAAAUUCCUUGAUAUGUGCAUAGGGAUUCUCACUUUCCAUCCCAUGGAAAGUUGGUAGAAGUGGAACAAUAUGUGGUCUGAUCACUAGCUACUCUGUAGGGGGCACUAUACAUGAUGGUGCACUCAUACGAGGUGGAUGCAUGCGGUCCCUCAUUGAUCUGAAUGCAUUGGGAUUGUCCUGGUGACCAUGGUGACUAUGCUGAUCUUCAGGUGUCGCUUCCAUGAUAUUCAAGCUCAAUUCCAAUUCCUUGUUAUGAGGUAUUUCACGUUUCACAAGCCUUCCUCCACUAUCUCGUAUCUAAUUUGGCAUACACAACUAGUAUCAAUUAUAACUAAAACAAAAACAAAAGAAAACAAUACUACAAAAAAAUUAAGAUUAAUUAAAAAUACUUUAAAAGAUAUGCUAAAAUAUGAACAAGUAAAAAAAAAUGAGUAAAAAGAGUUAGUAAAAUGAAAGAAAAAUUACCAAACUUGUGAUGAAAAUCACAAGUACUCUGUAAUAAUAUCACUGUGAAGUUGGCACCUUCCCCGGCAACGACGCCAUUUGAUUCAUUCCCAAUUAGUGUACCAGCUAAUUCUUGUUCUCUCAAUAGUCUCGACAAUGGAACCACUUGAUUUAUGCCCAGCUGGUGUAUUCUAGUUUCGGUCCUCAAAUAGGAGUAAUCAACAAAAUUUAUAACCAAUAUCACCAUGCACUAGGAUAGCCUUAGCUAAUAUAGCAUAGUGGCUCUAGGAUCGUUCACUAGGAAGGGUUUUCAACUUACAACUGAUACCAAUUCAAAGUUAAAUUGGUGCUUUUUCAUUUCAAGGGUAGCUUCAAAAGAAAACACAAAGAUGGGUGAAAAAAUAUUGAUUUUAAGCUAACUAAAAAGAAAGUAAUGGGAAUUACUUAUGAAGAAAAGCGUUUCUUGGAGUUUUAGGAUCACCGGGAUCAGGCUCCUCAUGCAAAAACAGAGCUCCGGUCACUUGAGUCUUUUCCUUGCAUUAGAGAAUUAACAUAUAGUUAAUUCUCUAACCGGUGUUGUACAGAUGCCCCCCUUUUAUGGAUUUCAACACUAAUUCCCUCUCACUAAUGCAUCUUGCAAUGACUCGUGCCUCUCACCUAGCAUUUU
RNAcentral lists this long non-coding RNA (24407 nucleotides) under Vitis vinifera (wine grape). RNAcentral's name for it is "long non-coding RNA (VVIN_LNC004718)". Lineage: Eukaryota; Viridiplantae; Streptophyta; Magnoliopsida; Vitales; Vitaceae. The record is from RNAcentral.